UACGGAGGGGGCUAGCGUUGUUCGGAAUCAUUGGGCGUAAAGGGCGCGUAGGCGGGUGCUCAAGUCCGGGGUGAAAUCCCACAGCUCAACUGUGGAACUGCCUCGGAUACUGGGUGUCUCGAGGGUGGCAGGGGUAUGCGGAACUAUCGGUGGAGCGGUGAAAUGCGUUGAUAUCGAUAGGAACUCCGGUGGCGAAGGCGGCAUACUGGUCCACUUCUGACGCUGAGGCGCGAAAGCGUGGGGAGCAAACAGG
RNAcentral lists this ribosomal RNA (253 nucleotides) under uncultured bacterium. RNAcentral describes it as "partial 16S ribosomal RNA". It matches the Rfam family "Bacterial small subunit ribosomal RNA", at positions 524 to 776 of the family's 1533-position model. The record is from RNAcentral.